GGAAAAACAUGGUCUUGUAGGGCUAGGUCUAAACCAGAAUUUAUAGAAAGAUUAAUAGAUUUCCUAGGUGUAGCUAAAAAUGCAUUAUCUUCUUGAUUAAAAGAUAGGACCUGAGCUAUAGAAAAGGGUUGGUUUUGACCUAUUGCAAUCAACUCCGGACACAGAUCAUAAUUAGGGGCAGGGCUUGUUGACUCCCAUGGUCUAUGGCUGGUCUCCGAAGGUGC
This 224-nucleotide long non-coding RNA is filed under the name Sorghum bicolor (sorghum). RNAcentral describes it as "long non-coding RNA (SBIC_LNC002224)". The record is from RNAcentral. Lineage: Eukaryota; Viridiplantae; Streptophyta; Magnoliopsida; Poales; Poaceae.